RNAcentral lists this unclassified non-coding RNA (184 nucleotides) under uncultured Metapochonia. RNAcentral's name for it is "sequence contains ITS2". Lineage: Eukaryota; Fungi; Ascomycota; Sordariomycetes; Hypocreales; Clavicipitaceae. The record is from RNAcentral.
CAACCCUCGAGCCCCCGUGGCUUGGUGUUGGGGACCGGCGACCUCGCCCCGCGCCUCUGUGCGGGCGUCCGCCGCCCCCGAAAUGAAUUGGCGGUCUCGUCGCGGCCUCCUCUGCGUAGUACCACAGCCUCGCAACAGGAGCGCGACGCGGCCACUGCCGUAAAACGCCCCAACUUUUUCUCAG